AGGAGUUUAUCUCGACUGAGUAGCUUCCCCGCCACUCCUCUAAAAUCCCUCCUCAAAAACCCCAAGUUAAAAAAAAAAAAGAUCUAUUCUUGUAGAUUUUUUUUGUGUGGGUCUAUGUUUCAUUCAUCUGCUUUCAGGCUGGAUUUAUAACAAGCAGAACUUUUAAAACGCUUCAGGAAAAAGAGGACCUUAGAACUGAAGGAGCAAGAUUCCAACAUCACACUGUUUUUGUUAGCUGUGUGUGUGUGUUUCCUGUGUAUCCAAAAGACAGAGGAGAUGAAAAAGCAAAAGAAAAGAAACGAGGAAUCAGAUUGGAAAGAAGGUUUCUCCAGGACGUCACCUGUAUGAGGUACACAGUGUGAUGACACACUCUGUGCUUUUCCUACUUGUGUCCACGUGAGUGUCUGGAGCUGCCCUUCAAGGAGAGCAAUAGAUGAAUGAUUCUGCCUUCCCGCUGAGAGGGAUGUGGGUCCUGCGGAUGGUCGGGGUGAAGCUUCCUCUCCUUUCUGCUGACAGCACUUCCUCAUUAAAUGCAGAGAUCUGCAAAAAGGGAAAAUAAAAACACAAGAAGAAA
Molecule: long non-coding RNA, 574 nt
Filed under: Homo sapiens (human)
Lineage: Eukaryota; Metazoa; Chordata; Mammalia; Primates; Hominidae
Description: non-protein coding lnc-TOMM20-2:24
Source: RNAcentral